UGGGGAAUCUUCCGCAAUGGACGAAAGUCUGACGGAGCAACGCCGCGUGAGUGAUGACGGCCUUCGGGUUGUAAAGCUCUGUUAAUCGGGACGAAAGGCUUUCUUGCGAAUAGUUAGAAGGAUUGACGGUACCGGAAUAGAAAGCCACGGCUAACUACGUGCCAGCAGCCGCGGUAAUACGUAGGUGGCAAGCGUUGUCCGGAAUUAUUGGGCGUAAAGCGCGCGCAGGCGGAUUGGUCAGUCUGUCUUAAAAGUUCGGGGCUUAACCCCGUGAUGGGAUGGAAACUGCCAAUCUAGAGUAUCGGAGAGGAAAGUGGAAUUCCUAGUGUAGCGGUGAAAUGCGUAGAUAUUAGGAAGAACACCAGUGGCGAAGGCGACUUUCUGGACGAAAACUGACGCUGAGGCGCGAAAGCCAGGGGAGCGAACGGGAUUAGAUACCCCGGUAGUCCUGGCCGUAAACGAUGGGUACUAGGUGUAGGAGGUAUCGACCCCUUCUGUGCCGGAGUUAACGCAAUAAGUACCCCGCCUGGGGAGUACGACCGCAAGGUUG
This 550-nucleotide ribosomal RNA is filed under the name uncultured bacterium. Its description in RNAcentral is "bacterial SSU rRNA". It matches the Rfam family "Bacterial small subunit ribosomal RNA", at positions 355 to 896 of the family's 1533-position model. The record is from RNAcentral.